GAUGAAGAACGCAGCGAAAUGCGAUAAGUAAUGUGAAUUGCAGAAUUCCGUGAAUCAUCGAGUCUUUGAACGCACAUUGCGCCCCCUGGUAUUCCGGGGGGCAUGCCUGUCCGAGCGUCAUUGCUGCCCAUCAAGCACGGCUUGUGUGUUGGGUCGUCGUCCCCUCUCCGGGGGGGACGGGCCCCAAAGGCAGCGGCGGCACCGCGUCCGAUCCUCGAGCGUAAGGGGCUUUGUCACCCGCUCUGUAGGCCCGGCCGGCGCUUGCCGAACGCAAAUCAAUCUUUUUCCAGGUUGACCUCGGAUCAGGUAGGGAUACCCGCUGAACUUAAGCAUAUCAAUAAGCGGAGGA
RNAcentral lists this unclassified non-coding RNA (349 nucleotides) under soil metagenome. Its description in RNAcentral is "partial contains 5.8S ribosomal RNA, internal transcribed spacer 2, and large subunit ribosomal RNA". The stretch from base 1 to 120 matches the Rfam family "5.8S ribosomal RNA", at positions 35 to 154 of the family's 154-position model. The record is from RNAcentral.